RNAcentral lists this small RNA (462 nucleotides) under Brevibacillus brevis NBRC 100599. RNAcentral's name for it is "cspA thermoregulator". It matches the Rfam family "cspA thermoregulator". Lineage: Bacteria; Bacillati; Bacillota; Bacilli; Caryophanales; Paenibacillaceae. The record is from Rfam by way of RNAcentral.
AUCAGGACGGGUUGGAGUUAGUAUAGUGGCUCAUUUAUAUUUUCUUUCAUCAAAUAUACGCGAAUGAUUUGCUAUCUUUUCAAUAUCCUGUUAUGCUAGUAGAGAAUUAUUUUUGUUCGAAGCAACGGAUAGCGUAGAUAGCAAAAUUUCGUCUAGAUGAUCCUGAGAGCAAGGAUAGUAAUAUAUGUGUGUUACACACUAGGAGGCAAUAACAAUGGAACAAGGUACAGUAAAAUGGUUUAACGCAGAAAAAGGUUUUGGUUUUAUCGAGCGCGAAGGUAAAGAAGACGUAUUCGUUCACUUCUCUGCUAUCCAAGGCGACGGUUUCAAAUCCCUUGACGAAGGUCAAAAAGUUACUUUUGACGUAGAACAAGGCCAACGCGGACCACAAGCUACUAACGUUCAAAAAGUUUAAUUUAACCAAACACAAAAAACAGACUCCUGUAAGGGUGUCUGUUUUUU